This 1036-nucleotide long non-coding RNA is filed under the name Spirodela polyrhiza (greater duckweed). RNAcentral's name for it is "long non-coding RNA (SPOL_LNC001497)". Lineage: Eukaryota; Viridiplantae; Streptophyta; Magnoliopsida; Alismatales; Araceae. The record is from RNAcentral.
UCUGUCAUCGCAGCCGGGGAUUCUGGUGCCGGAGGCGCUGGGCCUGGGUAACUGGGUGAAGGCCCAGGAGUGGGCGGCGGUGCCCGGCGGGCAGGCUACCUACCUGGGCAACCCCGUCCCAUGGGGCACCCUCCCGACCAUCCUCGCCAUCGAGUUCGUCGCCAUCGCCUUCGUCGAGCACCAGCGCAGCAUGGAGAAGGACCCGGAGAAGAAGAAGUACCCCGGCGGCGCCUUCGACCCCCUCGGCUACUCCAAGGACCCCGCCAAGUUCCAAGAGUACAAGGUCAAGGAGAUCAAGAACGGUAAGCUCCCCCCCGCCCUUCUCCUCCCUCUGGACAUCGCUCCACGCCCACCCACGAGUUGCUCACCGAAUCGAUUGGCUCAACCUUGCGCAGGCCGCCUGGCUCUGCUGGCCUUCGUGGGGUUCUGCGUGCAGCAGUCGGCGUACCCCGGCACGGGGCCGCUGGAGAACCUGGCGACCCACCUCGCCGACCCGUGGCACAACAACAUCGGCGAUGUCAUCAUCCCCAGAUCUCUCUUGCCCUGAGCUUUACACUGUGUAACAUCUUCUUCUCGUUCCGUCUGUAAAACCGCGUUCCACAUCUUGGUCGACGAUGCCUUCAAACGUUCCAAUCAGAGCUUCCGGGUCUCUCUCUCUCUCUCUCUCUCUUACGCUCUCUCUCCGAUCGUGUUUUUCCCUCUCUUGAUCGCCGGGGACGCGGGCGGACGGCUGAGAUCGUCGGGCCCGCGAAGGCCGUACAUACUGUUAGUUUGUUGUUAACGGGCCUAUUCAAGUGUCAAUCUGAGUGAUGCGAGGAGCCCAAUUGAAGCGGCCGCCCGCGGCCCAUCUAAAAUGAAUGAAAUGGGCUCGAUGUGGUUAACUCAGCCCAAUUAAAAAUGAGCCCAUAAACUGAGGCCACCCAUGGUUGCACGUGCCGUGGGCGACUCGCGCGCGGUUUCCGACCAUGCAUUCAAUAGAGGGUUGACUCAUCCCAGAUAUCUUGCCCUAGUCAAAGUCAGCUAAAAUUACCCCAAC